UCUGGGCUUAACCCAGAGGCUGCUUUCCAAAACUGCUGUGCUUGAGUGUGGGAGAGGCGCGUGGAAUUGCAGGUGUAGCGGUGAAAUGCGUAGAUAUCUGCAGGAACACCCGUGGCGAAAGCGGCGCGCUGGACCACAACUGACGCUGAGGAACGAAAGCUAGGGGAGCAAACAGGAUUAGAUACCCUGGUAGUCCUAGCCCUAAACGAUCAGGACUUGGGGUGCCGCCCGUUCGGGCGUCGUCCCGGAGCUAACGCGUUAAGUCCUGCACCUGGGGAGUACGGUCGCAAGACUGAAACUCAAAGGAAUUGACGGGGGCCCGCACAAGCGGUGGAACAUGUGGUUCAAUUCGACGCUACGCGAGGAACCUUACCUGGGCUCGAAAUGCUGGUGACCAGCUGUAGAAAUACGGCCUUCCCGCAAGGGACACCAGUAUAGGCGCUGCAUGGCUGUCGUCAGCUCGUGCCGUGAGGUGUUGGGUUAAGUCC
Molecule: ribosomal RNA, 488 nt
Filed under: uncultured bacterium
Lineage: Bacteria
Description: bacterial SSU rRNA
Rfam family: Bacterial small subunit ribosomal RNA
Source: RNAcentral